This 722-nucleotide long non-coding RNA is filed under the name Equus asinus (donkey). RNAcentral describes it as "lncRNA (ENSEASG00005034294.1)". The record is from RNAcentral. Lineage: Eukaryota; Metazoa; Chordata; Mammalia; Perissodactyla; Equidae.
GGCCUGAGAAUUUGUGUUUCUAAUAUUCCCAGGUGAUACUGACACCAUUGGUUUGGGGACCACACUUUGAAAUCAGAGAAUCUCCCCAGCUGUAGGGAGUGCUGCUGAUCGACAGUGCACAGCUGAGCCCCUCACCAGGAACGGCCCUUAGCUGAAGAGAGCCACCGCGCCCAAGGUCGUGCACCCAUCCCAGGUGGCAGCCUGCAUCCGUGACGGCAAGACCCAGGGUUUCACAACUGGCGCCCAUGCUGUGCCCACUGACACGCCCUGUUCACUGGAGUCCUCCCUCACCAUGUGCCAGCAGCUGCUGCAGCCCUGUUUGGUGGUGAAACCACCUGAUUUCUCCUGCAACUGCAGUUUCCAGCAUUCUGACAGUCUUCCAUCUCAAGUAGCUUGUCUCUCUUCUCUGCCUGAGGCUUUCUUAGGCAGUGGAAGCUUGCUCUGCCUGAGCCAGGUGCAACCCGGAAGUGCAGGAUAGUAAAGAUCAUUGGCGCUGACCUUCAACCAAUGGGGAUGGAAUAAAUAUCACAGACUUCUCCUCCGAUGGGAUGAUUCUGAGGCAUGGUCCACAUGGUUUAUCAGAGAGUCUCCUGCAAGACUGAGUCCCAGCUGCCCACAGGAUAACUUGCUCGUUAACAUACUUGUUAGUAGCUUUUCUCCCUUCUUUGUCUCACUUUCCCCAUUUUCUUCUUGUGCUCCUGAGAUCACCUCCUAAAUAAACC